RNAcentral lists this ribosomal RNA (253 nucleotides) under uncultured bacterium. RNAcentral describes it as "partial 16S ribosomal RNA". It matches the Rfam family "Bacterial small subunit ribosomal RNA", at positions 524 to 776 of the family's 1533-position model. The record is from RNAcentral.
UACGUAGGGUGCAAGCGUUAAUCGGAAUUACUGGGCGUAAAGCGUGCGCAGGCGGUUUUGUAAGACCGAUGUGAAAUCCCCGGGCUUAACCUGGGAACUGCAUUGGUGACUGCAAGGCUAGAGUGUGUCAGAGGGGGGUGGAAUUCCACGUGUAGCAGUGAAAUGCGUAGAGAUGUGGAGGAACACCGAUGGCGAAGGCAGCCCCCUGGGAUAACACUGACGCUCAUGCACGAAAGCGUGGGGAGCAAACAGG